Molecule: ribosomal RNA, 253 nt
Filed under: uncultured bacterium
Lineage: Bacteria
Description: partial 16S ribosomal RNA
Rfam family: Bacterial small subunit ribosomal RNA
Source: RNAcentral
UACAGAGGGGGCAAGCGUUGUUCGGAAUUACUGGGCGUAAAGGGCGCGUAGGCGGCCUGCUAAGUCGAACGUGAAAUCCCUGGGCUCAACCCAGGAACUGCGUCCGAUACUGGUUGGCUUGAAUCCGGGAGAGGGAUGCGGAAUUCCAGGUGUAGCGGUGAAAUGCGUAGAUAUCUGGAGGAACACCGGUGGCGAAGGCGGCAUCCUGGACCGGCAUUGACGCUGAGGAGCGAAAGCUAGGGGAGCAAACGGG